CAUCCCCGGGCAGGCUGGAAGACUUGUGAUUUUGUUGUUUCCAAUGUCAACGGGAGCGAACAACAAAUCCCAGUCUCCUCCCUGCCCCGGGCAC
This 94-nucleotide microRNA precursor is filed under the name Columba livia (rock pigeon). RNAcentral describes it as "microRNA cli-mir-7b precursor". Its record names the gene cli-mir-7b. It matches the Rfam family "mir-7 microRNA precursor family". From Rfam's summary of the family: This family represents the microRNA (miRNA) precursor mir-7. In this case the mature sequence comes from the 5' arm of the precursor. The extents of the hairpin precursors are not generally known and are estimated based on hairpin prediction. Lineage: Eukaryota; Metazoa; Chordata; Aves; Columbiformes; Columbidae. The record is from miRBase by way of RNAcentral.